GUCUGGGUGGCGCAAUUGGUUAGCGCGUCUGACUGUUAAUCAGGAGG
This 47-nucleotide transfer RNA is filed under the name Aspergillus parasiticus SU-1. It matches the Rfam family "tRNA", at positions 1 to 45 of the family's 71-position model. From Rfam's summary of the family: Transfer RNA (tRNA) molecules are approximately 80 nucleotides in length. Their secondary structure includes four short double-helical elements and three loops (D, anti-codon, and T loops). The record is from Rfam by way of RNAcentral. Lineage: Eukaryota; Fungi; Ascomycota; Eurotiomycetes; Eurotiales; Aspergillaceae.